CACGUAGGCACCAAGCGUUGUCCGGAUUUAUUGGGCGUAAAGAGCUCGUAGGCGGUUCGGUAAGUCGGGUGUGAAAACUCUGGGCUCAACCCAGAGCCGCCACCCGAUACUGCCGUGACUAGAGUGCGGUAGGGGAGCGGGGAAUUCCUGGUGUAGCGGUGAAAUGCGCAGAUAUCAGGAGGAACACCGGUGGCGAAGGCGCCGCUCUGGGCCGUAACUGACGCUGAGGAGCGAAAGCGUGGGGAGCAAA
This 250-nucleotide ribosomal RNA is filed under the name uncultured bacterium. Its description in RNAcentral is "partial 16S ribosomal RNA". It matches the Rfam family "Bacterial small subunit ribosomal RNA", at positions 524 to 772 of the family's 1533-position model. The record is from RNAcentral.